GGUUGAAGUUCAGGUAACACUGAAUGGAGGACCGAACCGACUUACGUUGAAAAGUGAGCGGAUGAACUGAGGGUAGCGGAGAAAUUCCAAUCGAACCUGGAGAUAGCUGGUUCUCUCCGAAAUAGCUUUAGGGCUAGCCUCAAGUGAUGAUUAUUGGAGGUAGAGCACUGUUUGGACGAGGGGCCCCUCUCGGGUUACCGAAUUCAGACAAACUCCGAAUGCCAAUUAAUUUAACUUGGGAGUCAGAACAUGGGUGAUAAGGUCCGUGUUCGAAAGGGAAACAGCCCAGACCACCAGCUAAGGUCCCAAAAUAUAUGUUAAGUGGAAAAGGAUGUGGCGUUGCCCAGACAACUAGGAUGUUGGCUUAGAAGCAGCCAUCAUUUAAAGAGUGCGUAAUAGCUCACUAGUCGAGUGACACUGCGCCGAAAAUGUACCGGGGCUAAACAUAUUACCGAAGCUGUGGAUUGUCCUUUGGACAAUGGUAGGAGAGCGUUCUAAGGGCGUUGAAGCAUGAUCGUAAGGACAUGUGGAGCGCUUAGAAGUGAGAAUGCCGGUGUGAGUAGCGAAAGACGGGUGAGAAUCCCGUCCACCGAUUGACUAAGGUUUCCAGAGGAAGGCUCGUCCGCUCUGGGUUAGUCGGGUCCUAAGCUGAGGCCGACAGGCGUAGGCGAUGGAUAACAGGUUGAUAUUCCUGUACCACCUAUAAUCGUUUUAAUCGAUGGGGGGACGCAGUAGGAUAGGCGAAGCGUGCGAUUGGAUUGCACGUCUAAGCAGUAAGGCUGAGUAUUAGGCAAAUCCGGUACUCAUUAAGGCUGAGCUGUGAUGGGGAGAAGACAUUGUGUCUUCGAGUCGUUGAUUUCACACUGCCGAGAAAAGCCUCUAGAUAGAAAAUAGGUGCCCGUACCGCAAACCGACACAGGUAGUCAAGAUGAGAAUUCUAAGGUGAGCGAGCGAACUCUCGUUAAGGAACUCGGCAAAAUGACCCCGUAACUUCGGGAGAAGGGGUGCUCUUUAGGGUUAACGCCCAGAAGAGCCGCAGUGAAUAGGCCCAAGCGACUGUUUAUCAAAAACACAGGUCUCUGCUAAACCGUAAGGUGAUGUAUAGGGGCUGACGCCUGCCCGGUGCUGGAAGGUUAAGAGGAGUGGUUAGCUUCUGCGAAGCUACGAAUCGAAGCCCCAGUAAACGGCGGCCGUAACUAUAACGGUCCUAAGGUAGCGAAAUUCCUUGUCGGGUAAGUUCCGACCCGCACGAAAGGCGUAACGAUUUGGGCACUGUCUCAACGAGAGACUCGGUGAAAUCAUAGUACCUGUGAAGAUGCAGGUUACCCGCGACAGGACGGAAAGACCCCGUGGAGCUUUACUGUAGCCUGAUAUUGAAAUUCGGCACAGCUUGUACAGGAUAGGUAGGAGCCUUUGAAACGUGAGCGCUAGCUUACGUGGAGGCGCUGGUGGGAUACUACCCUAGCUGUGUUGGCUUUCUAACCCGCACCACUUAUCGUGGUGGGAGACAGUGUCAGGCGGGCAGUUUGACUGGGGCGGUCGCCUCCUAAAAGGUAACGGAGGCGCUCAAAGGUUCCCUCAGAAUGGUUGGAAAUCAUUCAUAGAGUGUAAAGGCAUAAGGGAGCUUGACUGCGAGACCUACAAGUCGAGCAGGGUCGAAAGACGGACUUAGUGAUCCGGUGGUUCCGCAUGGAAGGGCCAUCGCUCAACGGAUAAAAGCUACCCCGGGGAUAACAGGCUUAUCUCCCCCAAGAGUUCACAUCGACGGGGAGGUUUGGCACCUCGAUGUCGGCUCAUCGCAUCCUGGGGCUGUAGUCGGUCCCAAGGGUUGGGCUGUUCGCCCAUUAAAGCGGUACGCGAGCUGGGUUCAGAACGUCGUGAGACAGUUCGGUCCCUAUCCGUCGUGGGCGUAGGAAAUUUGAGAGGAGCUGUCCUUAGUACGAGAGGACCGGGAUGGACAUACCUCUGGUGUACCAGUUGUCGUGCCAACGGCAUAGCUGGGUAGCUAUGUGUGGACGGGAUAAGUGCUGAAAGCAUCUAAGCAUGAAGCCCCCCUCAAGAUGAGAUUUCCCAACUUCGGUUAUAAGAUCCCUCAAAGAUGAUGAGGUUAAUAGGUUCGAGGUGGAAGCAUGGUGACAUGUGGAGCUGACGAAUACUAA
This 2159-nucleotide ribosomal RNA is filed under the name Staphylococcus aureus. RNAcentral's name for it is "partial 23S ribosomal RNA". It matches the Rfam family "Bacterial large subunit ribosomal RNA", at positions 743 to 2904 of the family's 2925-position model. Lineage: Bacteria; Bacillati; Bacillota; Bacilli; Caryophanales; Staphylococcaceae. The record is from RNAcentral.